Molecule: small nucleolar RNA, 139 nt
Organism: Cavia aperea (Brazilian guinea pig)
Lineage: Eukaryota; Metazoa; Chordata; Mammalia; Rodentia; Caviidae
Source: Ensembl
CUGGCCCUGAAUCAAGGCCGGCAGCUUCCUGACGCUGUUGGUAUCAAGUAGGAGCCUAAAGAGAUGUCUUUCUAUGGUAUGUUGGCUAUUUCAGAACUUGGGCAGUUAAAUGGUCAAUCAGAAACAGCUUGAAGCAACC